This 210-nucleotide small RNA is filed under the name Lelliottia amnigena. RNAcentral's name for it is "Enterobacterial sRNA STnc180". It matches the Rfam family "Enterobacterial sRNA STnc180". The record is from RNAcentral. Lineage: Bacteria; Pseudomonadati; Pseudomonadota; Gammaproteobacteria; Enterobacterales; Enterobacteriaceae.
UAAUAAAUACACAUCAGUAAUAAAUAAUCGGGUAAUACCCGACCGAGCAAAUAAAUAUAAAGUCUGGUGUCAGAUGAUGAAUACUCUACAAAACGUUAAAUACUGGUCGUGGAUGGGCGCGUUUACCGUCUCCACUCUGUUCUGGUGUCAGCUUAUCUGGCUGGCCCUAAACUAAAUCUAAAACCUCGCUGCGGCGAGGUUUUUUGUUUU